This 301-nucleotide ribosomal RNA is filed under the name uncultured bacterium. RNAcentral describes it as "partial 16S ribosomal RNA". It matches the Rfam family "Bacterial small subunit ribosomal RNA", at positions 509 to 807 of the family's 1533-position model. The record is from RNAcentral.
CAGUCGCCACGGUAAUACGUAGGUGGCGAGCGUUGUCCGGAAUUAUUGGGCGUAAAGCGUGCGCAGGCGGUUAGAUAAGCCAGAUGUGAAAUCCCCGAGCUCAACUUGGGAACUGCGUUUGGAACUGUUUAACUAGAGUGCGUCAUAGGGGGGUGGAAUUCCGCGUGUAGCAGUGAAAUGCGUAGAGAUGCGGAGGAACACCGAUGGCGAAGGCAGCCCCCUGGUAUGACACUGACGCUCAUGCACGAAAGCGUGGGGAGCAAACAGGAUUAGAUACCCGCGUAGUCCCUGUCUCUUAUAC